CACCACCGGAUUUAGAAUAAAAUAAGCAAGAUUCUCUAGAACUGAGGGUGAAUACUUGCUCAAGAUUUCUCAAUUGCUGAAUGAUAGACCAAGCAUUUGAUUCUAAAGAUUUUCCCUAAAACCUCUGGGGGGAGAGAAGCUUUUGAAAGGAGGGGAUCCAUGAACUGAGAAGAAUGAAUGGCUUUUAGAAGACGGAUUAUUACAGAGUAUUUCCAAAUCUGGUUGCAUAACAUUUGGCCCAGAUUUUCCACACACCAAUGAUGAGAACUCCACUCUCAACCUUUAAACUCCACUCAAGUUCUCCUCCACAAUCUUUGACGCCACCCUAACUCAACAUAAGUGAGAAAGCAUGGCCGGCUCCUUCCUUCAAUGCCACCACACUUGCGUUAGCUUUCACAGACGACUUCCCCAAGGCGUUCCGUGGGAAUUUAAGAAAACGACUCUCCAGA
Peromyscus maniculatus bairdii (prairie deer mouse) is the source of this 449-nucleotide non-coding RNA. Lineage: Eukaryota; Metazoa; Chordata; Mammalia; Rodentia; Cricetidae. The record is from RefSeq and is a predicted model, not a curated record.